GAGUUUGAUCCUGGCUCAGAGUGAACGCUGGCGGCGUGCCUAAUACAUGCAAGUCGAACGAUGAAGCUUCUAGCUUGCUAGAAGUGGAUUAGUGGCGCACGGGUGAGUAAUGCAUAGGUAACAUGCCCCUUAGUCUGGGAUAGCCACUGGAAACGGUGAUUAAUACUAGAUACUCCCUACGGGGGAAAGUUUUUCGCUAAGGGAUUGGCCUAUGUCCUAUCAGCUUGUUGGUGAGGUAAUGGCUCACCAAGGCUAUGACGGGUAUCCGGCCUGAGAGGGUGAUCGGACACACUGGAACUGAGACACGGUCCAGACUCCUACGGGAGGCAGCAGUAGGGAAUAUUGCUCAAUGGGGGAAACCCUGAAGCAGCAACGCCGCGUGGAGGAUGAAGGUUUUCGGAUUGUAAACUCCUUUUGUUAGAGAAGAUAAUGACGGUAUCUAACGAAUAAGCACCGGCUAACUCCGUGCCAGCAGCCGCGGUAAUACGGAGGGUGCAAGCGUUACUCGGAAUCACUGGGCGUAAAGAGCGCGUAGGCGGGGUAGUAAGUCAGAUGUGAAAUCCUAUGGCUUAACCAUAGAACUGCAUUUGAAACUACUACUCUAGAGUAUGGGAGAGGUAGGUGGAAUUCUUGGUGUAGGGGUAAAAUCCGUAGAGAUCAAGAGGAAUACUCAUUGCGAAGGCGACCUGCUGGAACAUUACUGACGCUGAUGCGCGAAAGCUGGGGAGCAAACAGGAUUAGAUACCCUGGUAGUCCACGCCCUAAACGAUGAAUGCUAGUUGUUGUGAGGCUUGUCCUUGCAGUAAUGCAGCUAACGCAUUAAGCAUUCCGCCUGGGGAGUACGGUCGCAAGAUUAAAACUCAAAGGAAUAGACGGGGACCCGCACAAGCGGUGGAGCAUGUGGUUUAAUUCGAAGAUACGCGAAGAACCUUACCUAGGCUUGACAUUGAUAGAAUCUGCUAGAGAUAGCGGAGUGCUGGCUUGCCAGAGCUUGAAAACAGGUGCUGCACGGCUGUCGUCAGCUCGUGUCGUGAGAUGUUGGGUUAAGUCCCGCAACGAGCGCAACCCUCGUCCUUAGUUGCUAGCAGUUCGGCUGAGCACUCUAAGGAGACUGCCUUCGUAAGGAGGAGGAAGGUGAGGAUGACGUCAAGUCAUCAUGGCCCUUACGCCUAGGGCUACACACGUGCUACAAUGGGGUGUACAAAGAGAAGCAAUACUGUGAAGUGGAGCCAAUCUCUAAAACAUCUCUCAGUUCGGAUUGUAGUCUGCAACUCGACUACAUGAAGCUGGAAUCGCUAGUAAUCGCAAAUCAGCCAUGUUGCGGUGAAUACGUUCCCGGGUCUUGUACUCACCGCCCGUCACACCAUGGGAGUUGUAUUCGCCUUAAGUCGGAAUACUAA
RNAcentral lists this ribosomal RNA (1400 nucleotides) under Helicobacter pullorum. Its description in RNAcentral is "16S ribosomal RNA". It matches the Rfam family "Bacterial small subunit ribosomal RNA". Lineage: Bacteria; Pseudomonadati; Campylobacterota; Epsilonproteobacteria; Campylobacterales; Helicobacteraceae. The record is from RNAcentral. RNAcentral also lists the same sequence under 1 other name.